GUUGUGCUUUGUCCGUCUUAUCUCUGGAAUUUGUUAUAUUUUUUAGUGAUUUGUGUCAUAAAAUUGUAUAAAAUACGGUUUUUUAUCGGUCGUCAAGUAUUCUGAGUAAUUUUUUCGUGUCGUGUGUCCAAUAUCUGAAGAAAUCCCUCUGUGCUAGAGAUUCAUUGCAGUUCCUGAAAGACUGCUGGAUCGAUUGACGCCAUUGCUGCGCUGUGAUUGGUCGGUUGAGGUCAGCCAAUCGUGUGGCAGAACAGAGAGAAAGCGACAUCAGCCAACGAUAAUUAGUCGUUGGUUGCAGAUUUAAUUUCUCCCCGUUUGUCAGUUAAAUUGCAGACAUAACCAGCUUGCUAAAACCCACUAAAAAUGUUUGCAGAAAGCAAGGGAGGACUCUAAGUCAGACAAACUGGUGCAUUAGGAUCAUCACAGCCACCAGUAGUCAUCACAACAAGCUGAAACAAAAUUUGUCAAAUUUUCAAACAAUUUCGAAUUUUGAAACAAAUUUCAAAAUUCAGACCUAACGUCAAUCAACGGAAAAAUCUCUUUCAUCAACAGAAAACAAAAAACUAGGAACUACUCAUCAAUAUCUCGCUCAUCAUCUAUCAAUAAUAUCGAUUUAGAAGUUUGGAGAGGACAUCGAUCUUCUAUAUAUCGAUCAUCAAUACAUCUUCAUUCAACUGACAUCUUGAAGGUAUGAACUGAAUGAAUCUUUAUUAUAAUAUUAGAGCCACAUAGACAAAAAAUUCACAGCCAAUACGGCUGAUUGGCUUAGAAAUAUCUUGCCUGAUUGUUUAGAACACAUGUUUUUUAUUCUUUCUUAGUUUUCGACACAAUAAUUAUUAUUAUAUAGAAAAUCAUAUCAAAAAGUAAUUAAGCCCA
Molecule: long non-coding RNA, 876 nt
Organism: Nilaparvata lugens (brown planthopper)
Lineage: Eukaryota; Metazoa; Arthropoda; Insecta; Hemiptera; Delphacidae
Exons: 3
Source: RefSeq, a predicted model, not a curated record